This 118-nucleotide small nucleolar RNA is filed under the name Meriones unguiculatus (Mongolian gerbil). RNAcentral's name for it is "Small nucleolar RNA SNORA17 (ENSMUGG00000009572.1)". It matches the Rfam family "Small nucleolar RNA SNORA17". From Rfam's summary of the family: snoRNA ACA 17 belongs to the H/ACA family of snoRNAs and is predicted to guide pseudouridylation of the 28S rRNA at positions U4659 and U4598. It shares the same host gene together with ACA43. The record is from RNAcentral. Lineage: Eukaryota; Metazoa; Chordata; Mammalia; Rodentia; Muridae.
CCCCUCCCUAGAGACGCUGUAGGUGUCACGUGUGUCAGGAGGUGGUAGAGAGGAAAGAGGCUGUGUCUACACUAGUGUUCUGACCUAUGAACGUCUGAGCCAUUGGUAACUUAAUAGU